CUGCUCGCUUCUGCAGCAUGUACACUAAAACUGCAACCAUACAGAGAUUAGCGCGGGCCCUGCGCAAGAACACGCACAUUCGUGAAGCGUUCCAGAUUAAG
Molecule: small nuclear RNA, 101 nt
Filed under: Octodon degus (degu)
Lineage: Eukaryota; Metazoa; Chordata; Mammalia; Rodentia; Octodontidae
Source: RNAcentral